GUGAUUUGCUCCUUGUUUAGUGGAACUUGAGGCUGGUCAAGACAUUGUUGUUUGCAGGGUCAGCCAAAUGGUCAAGGAGGUUUUGGUAAGGUCCAACUCCAGUUACCAAACCUUGAAUGAAGUAACCUAAGAUACCCAACAUAGCUAGUCUUCCAUUCUUAAUCUCCUUUAGCUUUAAGUCCUUCAUAGACUUCUCAUCUUUUCCGAA
RNAcentral lists this unclassified non-coding RNA (208 nucleotides) under Hevea brasiliensis (rubber tree). Lineage: Eukaryota; Viridiplantae; Streptophyta; Magnoliopsida; Malpighiales; Euphorbiaceae. The record is from RNAcentral.